GGGUAGCGGAACACGUACGCAACCUUCCCAAAUUGGUGAAUAGCCCUCCGAAAGGAGGAUUAAUACACCGUAACAUAAUUUGAUGGCAUCAUUAGAUUAUUAUAGCUCCGGCGAUUUUGGAUGGGCGUGCGCCUGAUUAGGUAGUUGGUAGGGUAAUGGCCUACCAAGCCAACGAUCAGUAACUGGUGUGAGAGCACGACCAGUCACACGGGCACUGAGACACGGGCCCG
RNAcentral lists this ribosomal RNA (230 nucleotides) under uncultured bacterium. Its description in RNAcentral is "partial 16S ribosomal RNA". It matches the Rfam family "Bacterial small subunit ribosomal RNA", at positions 104 to 334 of the family's 1533-position model. The record is from RNAcentral.